GAGUUUGAUCAUGGCUCAGAACGAACGCUGGCGGCAUGCCUAACACAUGCAAGUCGAACGAGACCUUCGGGUCUAGUGGCGCACGGGUGCGUAACGCGUGGGAAGUCUGCCCUUGGGUUCGGAAUAACAGUUAGAAAUGACUGCGUAAUAACUGAAUAGAUGUCUUCGGACCAAAGAUUUAUCGCCCAGGGAUGGAGCCCGCGUCGGAUUAGACUAGUUGGUGAGGUAAAGGCUCACCAAGGCGACGAAUCCGUAGCUGGUCUGAGAGGAUGAUCAGCCACACUGGGACUGAGACACGGCCCAGACUCCUACGGGAGGCAGCAGUGGGGAAGU
Molecule: ribosomal RNA, 333 nt
Filed under: uncultured Alphaproteobacteria bacterium
Lineage: Bacteria; Pseudomonadati; Pseudomonadota; Alphaproteobacteria
Description: bacterial SSU rRNA
Rfam family: Bacterial small subunit ribosomal RNA
Source: RNAcentral